UUUUUUUUUUUUUUUUUUUUUUUUCCCAAUUUACUUGUAUCUGGGAAAGGAGGCUUCUGUUAUUAUUCUUGUUUUGCCUGAGGUGAUUAGUCUGCACCUCUGGGCUUAGAUUUGUAGAAUGGCAGGGACUUCCAGCUGUAGUUUCACAACAACCUAGAGUGUCCAGUGAUCUGAAGCCUGUUGAGAAAUCCUCAAAAUUAAAUUAACCUCAGUUCACGUAGGCUUUUUUCUUUCUUUUUUUUUUUUUUUUUUUAAGAUUUUAUUUAUUCAUUCAUGAGAGACACAGGGAGAGAGAGAGAGGCAGGCUCCAUGCAGGGAGCCCAAUGUGGGACUUGAUCCCGGGACUCCAGGAUCACGCCCCGGGCCCAAGGCAGGAGCUAAACCCCUGAGCCACCCAGGGAUCCCAAGUUCACGUAGGCUUAAUAAAUUAACGUCACUCUGCACUGUAAGGAAGAGAAGAGAGAAUAUUGGGAAAUCAAACAGAUUGGUGCUCUUGGAGAUGAUUUUGGGCAUCACUACUUUUCCUAUCUUCUUUUUUUUUUUUAAAGAUUUUAUUGAUUUAUUCACGAGAGACACAGAGAGAGAGACAUAGGCAGAGGGAGGAGAAGCAGGCUUCAUGCAGGGAGCCUAAUGUGGGACUUGAUCUGGGGACUCCAGGAUCAUACCCUGAGCUGAAGGCUGAUGCUCAACCACUCAGCCACUCAGGCAUCCCAGCUUUUCCUAUCUUCAUGGCAGGAAUAUGUUGUUGAUUUGUUUAAAGAAAAAAGGAAAGAAAGAAAGAAAAACGUAAGGACAGAAGUGUGGCAGCUGUAUUAACAAUCAUCAUAGGGCAGCCCAAGUGACUCAGCAGUUUAGCGCCACCUUCAGCCCCGGGUGUGAUCCUGGAGACCUGGGAUUGAGUCCCAUGUCAGGCUUCCUGCGUGGAGCCUGUUUCUCCCUCUACCUGUGUCUCUGCCUCUCUCUCUCUCUCUCUGUCUUUCAUGAAUAAAUAAAUAAAAUCUUAAAAAAACAACAACAACAAUCAUAGUCUCUGAUGGGGCCAUCCAAAUGUAACUCACAGCACACUUGCUUUCCGGAAGACCACUGUAUGGCUUACUGUAUGGAUCUGCUCUGCGAUAAUGUAGAUUCACCUACUUUUUUGAUAGAGAGUUCCCCUCUUUGCCCUCACCUUCUUCCCUUUCUUAAAAAAGUUUCCAAACUUUUUAAUUUUCAACCCAUUUAAACAGUGAUUCAAAUAUCAGGAGCAUCCAAAGAACAUUUGAAAUUUCCAUUCAUCAAGCGUCUUUGACUAAACAGCAGAAGUUCAGGCAGGAUGCAUCCAAGGCUGUGGGUAGAAUCUGGGGUUUAUCAGCUCUGUAGCUGGGGGCUUAGGGGGUUAUUUGAGAUACAGUCCUGAGGGUUCUCCAGAGCGAAAGACGUAUGACGCUUCAUAAGGAGAAAUGAAUAGCAAUAGAAAGGACAUAAGUGUAGCUGAUUCUAGCACAGGCUGAUUUCCCUUCGCUCUGGCUAAAUACUUUUUCUGAAGCUGACUCACUGACAGUCCAUUGCCUGAUACUUAACAUUCUGUGCAAUGGGAGCUGUUGUUUAGGGCUUUUUCCUCUAGGAAAGUUUUGGGUAGGGCAGCCCGGGUGGCUCAGUGGUUUAGGAAAGUUUUGGGGAAGGUUUGAGAAAAGGGAAUAUUUUUGGCAGGGAUAAACGUAUAGAAGAGAGAGCUAUAGAAAGCAGGGAAAUGCAGGACUAUUUUUUGUGCAGUGUUUUGUUGAUCAAAAAAAACCUUUGCCCCAGCCUGAUUCCAAUUUAUGUUAUAUCAGAGGAUAGGCAGCUCCUAUGUUAUAAGAUUAGGGGGGAAAAUACCCCAAAUCUUGUUCCAAAGCUUGUCAAUGAACAUAGUCCUUUAGUUUCACCGGACUUGGUGACCACCUAGUAUCUCUGUGAAAACUGUAGUGUCCAGAGUCCUGCUUGUAGCCAGCCUAGUGAGAUUAUUAAAACUCACCCAAGGGCUGCAGACAAUUAAAAUAAUGAUGUGCAGCUUCACAAAUUGGCAUGAGUAACUUGGGUGAUACCAAAGAGGAAAGGAGGAUUUUGAGCCUCUCCAGUAAAUCAGCUUUAAUGAGGAUGUUCUUUGCUUUUCCUGCCACCCUUUCUAGUUCUAAAAUAAAGCUACCAAGAUCUGCGGAUGUAAUCCUCACAAUGAUCCUGUCCCCAGACAAGAUGGCCCUCUGUCUAAAAGUCACAUUCUCUGUCUUACACUCUUGUUUCUCUUUUACUGAAAAGGUCAGCUGGAAUGAGGUAUUGCAUGUAACCUUUGCAAUUUCCAUUUGAUCUUAUGAGGAGAGAGGAAAAGAUUAGAUUUGAGUUGUGAGAAAAUUCAAUGCUUGCUUCGCAGUCUCUCCUUUCCAUCAUGGGGUGGUAUGUUUUCCAACCUCUUGGGGAGUCCAAUUGAUUAAACAAGGCUCAUUCUGAGCUUGAAUCAAACAUGAGUUGAGGGCUGGGGAGGCCCCCAGCCGUUUGAAGGACCACCUGUUUGCAAAGAAACCUUAAAAAAGACAGUAAAAAUAUUUUUUUUUUUUUUUAAUAGAGCUAGCUCAGGCAAGGUAACAUCUUAAGGGAAUAAGCUGUAACUGAAUUAGAAACAGGUGGAUUAACUUUUCUUGAAAAGAUCCUUCGUUAAAACAAUUAGGAGGAAAUGUUUGGCAUGAUGCAUUUCAGAUCUGGUACAACUGAGACCGUUUACAGGCAAGGAGGCAAUUCACUGGAACUAGCGUGUAUGUAUCAUCUAAUGAUUGAUGUUAUGGCGCAUGAGUAUACACAAUAUACAUAUUAUAUAUAUUAUUGAUAAAAGCCUUCCCAUUGGCUAAUGUGUCUCAGUGAUCAGUAAAUAAAUAAAACUCUGUUUACACUUCUAUUUUUUAAGAUUAAUUUUUUAAAAAUUUAAGUUUAUUUAUUUAAGCAAUCUCUACACCCAGCACGUGGCUUGAACUCACAAUCCAGAGUCACAUGCUCCACCAACUGAGGCAGCCAGGCAUCCCUACACUUCUGGUUUUGAAUCACUAGUUUCUACUAAAAAGCCACCACACCAACCACUAAAUCUCCAACUCUAUUGAUAAUUAGUUCUAAAAACAGAAAUUUAAAAAUAAAUGUCUUAUUAUCUCACCUCUUAAAUUUAUAUCAUUUGACAUCCUCACAGUUCCUAAUAGAGAAAGUGAAGAUUAGUGAAACAAACUAUUAGGUUAGAAAGAACAUGUCAAGAUUGGCCCACUCUAAAAAGUGUGACUCAUUCUCAGGUUAUAUGUGUGUAUGUAUAUGCAUGUGUGUGAAUAAACUUGUUCUUAUACUUCUAAAAUGCUCACUAAGCGAACUAGGAAUUUCCCCCUGUAAUUUGAGGACAAACUUUUAUACAGCAGGUGUACCUUACUUACCUGCAUUGUAUCUAUCACAAGGAGUACAGCAAAUAAAUCUUAGAGUCAAGAUUAUCCUUGAUAAACCCCUUUAAUGUUUUAUGAAAUGGAAUAUAGGGACAGCCCUCACUGGGUCCAAUAGAGCCAGGUUUUUCUCCAGCAGUGGAUCAGACUGCUUUUUUGUUUGAUUGUUUUUUGGCUGGGAACCAGAUGAAUCAGCUAGCCCUUAUUUAGAGGCCCUGAUGUACCCCCAAACACUUCACUUUCAAGCCCUGGCCUUACAUUCACCCUUACUUCUGAGAGGUACAAGGGAAGUAAAACCAGCCAAGCUGACAGCAGGUCCACUCUAGGUCCUGUUACUGAGUGAGUGGAUGGGUGGUUGGAUUAUCCACACUACUGAAAGUGUUAUCUUUCUCUUUCUUUUGGGGGUAGGGAGUGGGGAAUGGGCCAAAUGUGCAUAGUUGAAUCUAUGUCAUAUGAUAUGUUAUGAUUCUACAGUAAAUAUUUAUUGAAUUAAUAAAUAUUUGAGAUGGAAGUAAACAUUAUUUGGUUCAGUGGCUCUAUUGACUCUUGUAUGAAUAUACGCUGGGAAAAUGGUUUAAAUGGCUUUCAGAAAUAGCAAAGCAUGUGAAAAAGGCAAAGGAGAAAAU
RNAcentral lists this long non-coding RNA (4048 nucleotides) under Canis lupus familiaris (dog). RNAcentral's name for it is "lncRNA (ENSCAFG00000055293.1)". The record is from RNAcentral. Lineage: Eukaryota; Metazoa; Chordata; Mammalia; Carnivora; Canidae.